RNAcentral lists this ribosomal RNA (776 nucleotides) under uncultured Neocallimastigales. RNAcentral's name for it is "partial large subunit ribosomal RNA". It matches the Rfam family "Eukaryotic large subunit ribosomal RNA", at positions 24 to 640 of the family's 3401-position model. The record is from RNAcentral. Lineage: Eukaryota; Fungi; Neocallimastigomycota; Neocallimastigomycetes; Neocallimastigales.
UAUGUGAUCGUCUCUCGCAUAUCAAUAAGCGGAGGAAAAGAAACUAACAAGGAUUCCCCUAGUAACGGCGAGUGAAGCGGGAAGAGCUCAAAUUUGAAAUCUUAAAGGGUUUCCCUUUACGAAUUGUAGUUUAAAGAAGUGUUUUCUGUUGAGGUUUUGGUAAAAGUUCUUUGGAAUAGGACAUCAUAGAGGGUGAGAAUCCCGUAUUUGACCUUUACUUUCAACUUUGUGAUACACUUUCAAAGAGUCGGAUUGUUUGGGAAUGCAGUCCAAAAUGGGUGGUAAAUUUCAUCUAAAGCUAAAUAUUGGCGAGAGACCGAUAGCGAACAAGUACCGUGAGGGAAAGAUGAAAAGAACUUUGAAAAGAGAGUUAAACAGUACGUGAAAUUGUCAAAAGGGAAGCGUUUGACACCAGUGUUGUUUUUCUGAAAAUCAAUUAAAGAACUGUUUAUGCUAAGCUUGUUUAGACUUUAUCAGCUAAUCUGUUUAGUUUUGAGCUUUUCUUUAAUGCACUUUUCAGUUAACAAGUCAACAUCAAUUUCUUUUGCUGUAAAAAAGCUUGAGGAAGGUGGCUUGAGAUUCGUCUUAAGUGUUUAUAGCCUCUUGCCUAUGCAGUCGGAGAGAUUGAGGUCUGCAGCGUAGAUCCUUCGGGGCUAAAUGCAUUUGUGCUAAGUUAUAGCAUUUUAUAGACAACUUGUUGACUAUGAUUUGUCUUGUAGCUUACUCGCUUAUGUUAUUUUACCUACGCUUAGGAUGUUGAUAUGCAUGACUGAUAU